Molecule: long non-coding RNA, 3603 nt
Filed under: Homo sapiens (human)
Lineage: Eukaryota; Metazoa; Chordata; Mammalia; Primates; Hominidae
Description: HSALNT0253567
Source: RNAcentral
GUGCAGUUCACUCAUUCUGAAGUCGGUUCCUCUGCAGGAUACAGUUCAGUAGACGGAGUUGAAGGGUGGAUCUCACAUUAAACAAGCAAAAAAACAAUGAGACACAAGAAAACUCUUGGAGGCAUAAGAAGCGGAGGCACAAGUGAGUGAGGCAACCUGUCCAAGGAUACACCCCUGGGAAACAGACCAGAGAUCCACGGCCGUGUCCUCACUCUCUAGGCACACCAAAGGCGGAAGCAAAGCUGGACCCUCGUUAAGGUCGUGCGCCUGUCUGGAGGCACGGCCAGCUUCUAGGAGAGCUUCCCUGAAUGGAUCCGACGCAGCUACACGCGCGCUGCUGUGAGCUCAGUGACUGAGGACCCUGCCCUCAAUCACGCGGGGCAGCCUGGAGGAAAAGCCCAACCCUUGGGCUGCUCCGCCGCCUGGGCUCCAUUCCCCACGCAGUCCCCUCCACCUAACUUUUCCUCCCCCAGGACCCGCGCCCCACACUGCCUAAACCCAGCGCAGGCUUCCAGUCCCAACCCAGCGCCCUCUCCGCGAGCUCAAUACCACGUGCUACUUCUCUGGUGGCUUUGGUUACAUCACUCUUGUUUUGUUUGUUGUUUGUUUUCCUUUUAACCACGAUUCUGUUUGUUUCUCUGCUGGCUCUCCCCUGCCACCCAGAUGGGAAGGAUGAGAGGUUUUCAGGUUUCUGUCCUAGGCUUUCUUCCAUGCUCCUUUGCACAUCUUCCCUGGACAAUUAGACCCUUUGCCAUGUGUUCAUCUACCUCAGGCCCUCAGCUUCCCAUCACACCUCAGUUCCCAAUGCUCUUUAGUGCAGCUGACCCCCACGCCCAUGGACUCCACUCCCUCUCCACGUGGACCAGCCACUGACAUUUCUAAAGCUGGGUUCAGAGAUUUCCCACCCAUGCCUCCUCCAGCUUUAGUAUUCCCAGCUUUUUAUAAACCAUCACGUGUCCCCAGUAGCUCAAGCUAGACCCUGAGCAAUGACCUUGACCAUCUGUCCUUCUCCAGGUCUCCUGGAUGCUGCCCCACCCCACUAGAUGGGGCUCUGGGCUCCAUCCCCCCUAAGAUGUGCUUCCCCUCUCACCUGCCUGGAUUAGGGGUUUCCUUCAUCCACAUCGGUUCUCCUUCAGUCUGUUCAUCAGUCAGAACGACUUUUCAUAAAAAGUAAGUGAAUCUGAUCCUUUAACUCACAAGCAUCCAGCCCUCAGCAGCUUCCUCUUUCAAGCAGAGUAAAGCUCAAAAUGCUGAAUGGAAGGUGGCCCCUAGGCCCUCAGACUCCUGUGCUCACCUCCUCAACAGCAGUUAUUCCACCUGACACAGGUUCUGUCCCUGCAAGGCUGUCAAAAGCCUCGAUUCCUCCCCCUGGAAGCCUUCGUCUCCCCUUGUGGAGUUGUGACUCUGAAACCCCAUCCAAUGCUGUUCUCGGAGCAGGCCUCACAAGCAUCCCAGCCUCCUUCCUCCCAAGGAUUAUCUGUAGCGUCCCCCACGCACCCUGUGGUUCCCAGUGAGGUGGUUUCCACACCUACAACUAUUUAGCUAUUUGUAAUCACCUGGCUGGUGCUUGCCUGCGUUGAAAGGUUGCAGACCAGGUGCACCUUCUCAGCUCACAGCCCCAUGCCUGGCACACGGCGGGCACACUCACCACGUGUUUGCUGAACGGCUGAUUCAAAUCCAGCACAUUCUCAGUAGCAUAGACUUAAGUUAAAGCAAUUUGAACGUCAAAUGAAAUGUAACAAGAAUGUUCUUAGAUGAUGACAGAGCAGAAGCACCAUCAUCUUGAACAAACAUCACCAUUUUAAAUUCCAGCUCCCUUUCUAACCUCAUGCAUUUCAAGGAAAUUACUUCUCUUCUAACAACAAGCAGCCAGAAAAAGCAGACAGCAAAACACACAUAAAACAGCUCGGGCACAGAAGAAGGGGAGAAGUCUCCUUGGUAAUCACCAAACUUCAUAUUUACACAGUGGGCCCCAGUGAAACAGUGGGCCAUAAUAAGCACAUUCCUUUCCUUUUAGGUGAAUGAAGAUAGGGAAGUUAAGGCCGACUGGGGAGUAUCCCUGAAGCUGCAGGAAGAUGUGUGGGAACAAACACAAAAACUCUUUCUCCCUGAUAAGCAAGACAAAGAGAUACAGACUAAAAGUUGGCCUAUGUGGUCUGGGAAUGGGGUGAGAGCUGAUAAAUACUCUGCUCUAUAUAAAUAGCACACCUGGUCCUAACUGAACCAUCAGGCCCUAGGAGGAUAAGGCACCCCCUCCUCAUGAGCCCCUGAUCCCUUAAAUACCCCUAGUCUGUAAGAGAAAAAGCUCCUGACCUAACUCAGCCAGAAGCCCCCGUCAGGUUUAUUCUCUAAAAUAAACCUGUCUUUGACUGUUGAGCCACCUUUCAUGCUCCUUUCUUCCUUCCUCAACUCUUACAGAUGAGAAAGGUAAUUAAUCAGAAACAAUUGUGUCUUUCAAGGAUCAGUGAGGCAGAACUAAAGCCAAUAUUAAAAGCCAAGAAGCACAUUUCUGACACUUAAAACAUAGCAAAAGAUAAUUAAUGCACAGAAAAAAUGAAAAGAGACAAGAGAGGCCAAAGCACGUGAAAUACAAAUGAGUGCCACAGGGAAAAAAUUAAAACCAAAUUGCAAAUGUUCUGCUUACACACUGAAAUGAGGCUUCUAUUAGGGACACUGAAAAAGAGCUUUUGAAAAAGUGUAUUCUGGGAUGGCUGCUCAUUGUAUGACCUUUUUAAGAAAUAAAUCCAAAAACACCAAGUUCCCCAGCAACCCAUUAAAUUACAGAGGCAAAAUAGGUACAAUUGUUUCAGAGAACAAGACAAGUUUAUCCAAUAUAAGAUUGCUAUGAAUAUGUGUGUUUGUGGAUGUCACAGAUAUGCCUAUAUAAUAGAUAAUACUGAGAAGUUUGUCUCUUGUAUGAUCAAUUUAAUCAUUUUAAACUGCAUGUAUUUCUGUUCCUGGUUUAAUUUAGUGUGCAAAUAUCUAGGUAUAUAAUAUAAAGAUUUAAUAUUUUGAUAUUAAAAUAAUUUUUAAAUUUCAUAGCAUCAUUCCUCUGAAUAACUCAAAUAACUUAAAAACGUGCACCUGAUUUAACAAAAUAUUUGUGAAAUGAGUAACUGAAAUCUGAAAAUUAAUAUCUAGCUAAAUCAACUUUGAGGUCUGACAGAAUUACCUGAUUAAUGUCUGAUGAUCAAGUAACUUUAUUCUGUCUUCAUUCAUUCUUCAAUACAUGUACACAAAAUCAUGCUAUGCAUCUAUAACAGAGCAUUUCUAAAAUCUCAUUUUGUUUUCCAUAGGGAGGCUGAUAUGGUUAGGCUGUGUCCCCACCCAAAUCUGAUCUUAAAUUGUAACUCCCAUAAUUCCCAGGUGUUGUGGGAGGGACCCAGUGGGAGAUAAUUGAAUCAUGGGGGCAGUUCCCCCAUACUGUUCUCAUGGUAGUGAAUAAGUCUCAGGAGAGCUGAUGGUUUUAUAAGAGGAAACCCCUUUUGCUUGGCUGUCAUUCUCUCUUGCCUGCCACCAUUUAAGACGUCCCUUGCUCUUCUGCCAUGAUUGUCAGGCCUCCCCAGCCAAGUGGGACUCUGAGUUCAUUAAACCUCUUUUUCU